UGGAACAUGGGUGAUGGGGCUCACCUAAACCGCCUGCCAAGGCUGAUGGCUCCUGCGAACCG
RNAcentral lists this non-coding RNA (62 nucleotides) under Paenalicyclobacillus macrosporangiidus. RNAcentral describes it as "Alicyclobacillus macrosporangiidus Fluoride sequence". It matches the Rfam family "Fluoride riboswitch aptamer (crcB RNA motif)". The record is from Rfam by way of RNAcentral. Lineage: Bacteria; Bacillati; Bacillota; Bacilli; Caryophanales; Alicyclobacillaceae.